GACGAACGCUGGCGGCGUGCUUAACACAUGCAAGUCGAACGGAAAGGCCCUGCUUUUGUGGGGUGCUCGAGUGGCGAACGGGUGAGUAACACGUUAGUAACCUGCCCUUGACUUUGGGAUAACUUCAGGAAGCUGGUGCUAAUACCGGAUAGGAGCUCCUGCUGCAUGGUGUGGGUUGGAAAGUUUCGGCGGUUGGGGAUGGACUCGCGGCUUAUCAGCUUGUUGGUGGGGUAGUGGCUUACCAAGGCUUUGACGGGUAGCCGGCCUGAGAGGGUGACCGGCCACAUUGGGACUGAGAUACGGCCCAGACUACUACGGGAGGCAGCAGUGGGGAAUAUUGCACAAUGGGCGGAAGCCUGAUGCAGCAACGCCGCGUGCGGGAUGACGGCCUUCGGGUUGUAAACCGCUUUCGCCUGUGACGAAGCGUGAGUGACGGUAAUGGGUAAAGAAGCACCGGCUAACUACGUG
This 468-nucleotide ribosomal RNA is filed under the name uncultured bacterium. RNAcentral's name for it is "partial 16S ribosomal RNA". It matches the Rfam family "Bacterial small subunit ribosomal RNA", at positions 28 to 507 of the family's 1533-position model. The record is from RNAcentral.